This 71-nucleotide transfer RNA is filed under the name Syrmaticus humiae (Hume's pheasant). RNAcentral's name for it is "tRNA-Asp". Lineage: Eukaryota; Metazoa; Chordata; Aves; Galliformes; Phasianidae. The record is from RNAcentral.
GAGCUGUUAGUAAACCAAUUACAUAGACUUGUCAAGACUAAAUCACAGGUGCAAGCCCUGUACACCUCUCA